UAGCAUAUCAAUAAGCGGAGGAAAAGAAACCAACAGGGAUUGCCCUAGUAACGGCGAGUGAAGCGGCAGCAGCUCAAAUUUGAAAUCUGGCCUCCCGGGCCCGAGUUGUAAUUUGUAGAGGAUGCCUCGGAGUGGGCCCCGGCCUAAGUUCCUUGGAACAGGACGUCGCAGAGGGUGAGAAUCCCGUACGCGGCCGGUGGUCCCCUCCGUGUGAGGCUCCUUCGACGAGUCGAGUUGUUUGGGAAUGCAGCUCUAAGUGGGAGGUAAAUUUCUUCUAAAGCUAAACAUUGGCCAGAGACCGAUAGCGCACAAGUAGAGUGAUCGAAAGAUGAAAAGCACUUUGGAAAGAGAGUUAAAAAGUACGUGAAAUUGUUGAAAGGGAAGCGCUUGCAACCAGACCUGUCCGUAGUCGUUCAUCCAGGCUCUCGUCUGGUGCACUCCUCUGCGGUCAGGCCAGCAUCGGUUCCGGCGGUCGGAUAAAGACGGCGGGAAUGUAACUCCCUCCCGGGAGUGUUAUAGCCCGUCGUGCAAUGCGGCCAGCCGGGACCGAGGUCCGCGCCUCGGCUAGGAUGCUGGCUUAAUGGUUGUAAGCGGCCCGUCUUGAAACACGGACCAAGGAGUCUAACAUCUGUGCGAGUGUUUGGGUGUCAAGCCCGGACGCGUAAUGAAAGUGAACGGAGGCGGGAACCCUAGGGUGCACCGUCGACCGAUCCUGAUGUCUUCGGAUGGAUUUGAGUAAGAGCAUAGCUGUUGGGACCCGAAAGGUAAGAUGAACCCCCCUUGACUCUGAGUGGGUCGAAUGCUAACUUGUGCCGCAGAUGGUGAUCUAUGCUUGAAUAGGGUGAAGCCAGAGGAAACUCUGGUGGAGGCUCGCAGCGGUUCUGACGUGCAAAUCGAUCGUCAAAUUUGGGCAUAGGGGCGAAAGUGAGUCUACCGGGCGCGCCCUCUUGAUUAUUGGAAGAUGCUAACCCCUUGCAGG
This 979-nucleotide ribosomal RNA is filed under the name Hysterographium vulvatum. Its description in RNAcentral is "LSU rRNA". It matches the Rfam family "Eukaryotic large subunit ribosomal RNA", at positions 36 to 930 of the family's 3401-position model. The record is from RNAcentral. Lineage: Eukaryota; Fungi; Ascomycota; Dothideomycetes; Hysteriales; Hysteriaceae.